This is a long non-coding RNA of Fukomys damarensis (Damara mole-rat), 523 nucleotides long. RefSeq lists it as uncharacterized. NCBI's taxonomy places the organism in Eukaryota, Metazoa, Chordata, Mammalia, Rodentia, Bathyergidae. The record is from RefSeq and is a predicted model, not a curated record. The transcript is spliced from 4 exons.
CACAGUAAUGGAAGAAAAUAUUUAGAACUUUGAUUUGUUCACCAUUGAACCAACAUGCUAUGCUGUCAUUUAUUUUUUGGUAAUUGGGUGUUUGUGCGUGAAUUAACUAUCUUAAGAUUUUUGCAGUCCGGGCUGCAGAAUGUUGAGAAUACUGAAGGAAGGGGAGUACAGAAGCAGCAAGUCAGAGAUGGAUGAAACUUUGUAUAUAAAGGACACCAGUGGACUGAACUUAGUGAAUAACCGCUGGUUUUCACCGGCACCAUUCAGGGAUAGCUGGACGGGGUAAAUCUCUUGAAGGAGGAAGAUACUGACUAAUGAUGGUUAAAGUUUGGAAAGAGUCUCAGUCCAUUAGGGAAAUGAGGUAGAGGCGGCCUGGAGUGACACCUCCACGUCAGGAAGCCAAGGGGCACUUCCAGUGGAAAGCCAGCCCAGAGAUGUGAGUUACUGGUCUUGAAGCAAGAGGAUCCUUGGGGAACUGGAAACCAUGUGUCACUCCUGUCACCCCAGGAAUCUGGAUUAUGGA